Haliotis rubra (blacklip abalone) is the source of this 102-nucleotide long non-coding RNA. RefSeq lists it as uncharacterized. The transcript has 3 exons. The record is from RefSeq and is a predicted model, not a curated record. Lineage: Eukaryota; Metazoa; Mollusca; Gastropoda; Lepetellida; Haliotidae.
UAGAUAACAGCUGUGCGAAUUCUGGUGAGAUCUGAAAUAAAUAUCAAUUCAAAUACAUGCUUAUCUCAUUUAAUUGUAAAUGUGAUAAAUGUUUUAAAUUUG